This 253-nucleotide ribosomal RNA is filed under the name uncultured bacterium. RNAcentral's name for it is "partial 16S ribosomal RNA". It matches the Rfam family "Bacterial small subunit ribosomal RNA", at positions 524 to 776 of the family's 1533-position model. The record is from RNAcentral.
UACGGGGGGGGUAAGCGUUGUUCGGAAUUACUGGGCGUAAAGGGCUCGUAGGCGGCCAACUAAGUCGGACGUGAAAUCCCUCAGCUUAACUGGGGAACUGCGUCCGAUACUGGAUGGCUUGGAUUUGGGAGAGGGAUGCGGAAUUCCAGGUGUAGCGGUGAAAUGCGUAGAUAUCUGGAGGAACACCGGUGGCGAAGGCGGCAUCCUGGACCAACACUGACGCUGAGGAGCGAAAGCCAGGGGAGCAAACGGG